AUUGAACGCUGGCGGAAUGCUUUACACAUGCAAGUCGAACGGUAGAGGGGGCAACCCCUCGAGAGUGGCGAACGGGUGAGUAAUAUAUCGGAACGUGCCCAGUCGUGGGGGAUAACGUAGCGAAAAUUACGCUAAUACCGCAUACGAUCUAUGGAUGAAAGCGGGGGAUCGCAAGACCUCGCGCGAUUGGAGCGGCCGAUAACAGAUUAGGUAGUUGGUGGGGUAAGGGCCAACCAAGCCAACGAUCUGUAGCUGGUCUUAGAGGACGACCAGCCACACUGGAACUGAGACACGGUCCAGACUCCUACGGGAGGCAGCAGUGGGGAAUUUUGGACAAUGGGCGAAAGCCUGAUCCAGCCAUUCCGCGUGCAGGAUGAAGGCCCUCGGGUUGUAAACUGCUUUUGUACAGAACGAAAGGGUUUCUACUAAUACUAGGAGCUCAUGACGGUACUGUAAGAAUAAGCACCGGCUAACUACGUGCCAGCAGCCGCCGUAA
Molecule: ribosomal RNA, 496 nt
Filed under: uncultured bacterium
Lineage: Bacteria
Description: partial 16S ribosomal RNA
Rfam family: Bacterial small subunit ribosomal RNA
Source: RNAcentral